AUAACAGUUAGAAAUGACUGCUAAUACCGCAUAAGACCACAGCACCGCAUGGUGCAGGGGUAAAAACUCCGGUGGUAUGAGAUGGACCCGCGUCUGAUUAGGUAGUUGGUGGGGUAACGGCCUACCAAGCCGACGAUCAGUAGCCGACCUGAGAGGGUGACCGGCCACAUUGGGACUGAGACACGGCCCAAACUCCUACGGGAGGCAGCAGUGGGGAAUAUUGCACAAUGGGGGAAACCCUGAUGCAGCGACGCCGCGUGAGCGAUGAAGUAUUUCGGUAUGUAAAGCUCUAUCAGCAGGGAAGAAAAUGACGGUACCUGACUAAGAAGCACCGGCUAAAUACGUGCCAGCAGCCGCGGUAAUACGUAUGGUGCAAGCGUUAUCCGGAUUUACUGGGUGUAAAGGGAGCGUAGACGGAGUGGCAAGUCUGAUGUGAAAACCCGGGGCUCAACCCCGGGACUGCAUUGGAAACUGUCAAUCUAGAGUACCGGAGAGGUAAGCGGAAUUCCUAGUGUAGCGGUGAAAUGCGUAGAUAUUAGGAGGAACACCAGUGGCGAAGGCGGCUUACUGGACGGUAACUGACGUUGAGGCUCGAAAGCGUGGGGAGCAAACAGGAUUAGAUACCCUGGUAGUCCACGCCGUAAAC
RNAcentral lists this ribosomal RNA (646 nucleotides) under uncultured bacterium. RNAcentral describes it as "bacterial SSU rRNA". It matches the Rfam family "Bacterial small subunit ribosomal RNA", at positions 143 to 807 of the family's 1533-position model. The record is from RNAcentral.